This 526-nucleotide ribosomal RNA is filed under the name Hoplarchus psittacus. Its description in RNAcentral is "partial 16S ribosomal RNA". It matches the Rfam family "Bacterial large subunit ribosomal RNA", at positions 1852 to 2571 of the family's 2925-position model. Lineage: Eukaryota; Metazoa; Chordata; Actinopteri; Cichliformes; Cichlidae. The record is from RNAcentral.
GUCCCGCCUGCCCGGUGACUGUAAGUUUAACGGCCGCGGUAUUUUGACCGUGCAAAGGUAGCGCAAUCACUUGUCCUUUAAAUGAAGACCUGUAUGAAUGGCACCACGAGGGCUCAACUGUCUCCUUUUUCCUGUCAAUGAAAUUGAUCUCCCCGUGCAGAAGCGGGGAUUUUAACAUAAGACGAGAAGACCCUAUGGAGCUUCAGGCGCCAGAGUAGCCUAUGUUAAGCACCCUCCCACAAAAGACAAAACUAACUAGACCCUACUCCAAUGCCUUUGGUUGGGGCGACCGCGGGGAAACAAAAAACCCCCAUGUGGAUUAAGAGCACACUUUACUCCUACAGCCCAGGGCUACUGCCCUAAGAAACAGAACCUCUGACCAACAAAAGAUCCGGUAUAACCGAUCAGCGGACCGAGUUACCCUAGGGAUAACAGCGCAAUCCCCUUCUAGAGUCCAUAUCGACAAGGGGGUUUACGACCUCGAUGUUGGAUCAGGACAUCCUACUGGUGCAGCCGCUAUUAAGGG